This 253-nucleotide ribosomal RNA is filed under the name uncultured bacterium. Its description in RNAcentral is "partial 16S ribosomal RNA". It matches the Rfam family "Bacterial small subunit ribosomal RNA", at positions 524 to 776 of the family's 1533-position model. The record is from RNAcentral.
AACGUAGGAGACGAGCGUUAUCCGGAUUUACUGGGCGUAAAGCGCGUGCAGGCGGUUUAGCAAGUGACUUGUGAAAGCGACCGGCUCAACUGGGUGAGGCCGUGUGAGACUGCUGAACUAGAGAGAGGUAGAGGCGAAUGGAAUUUCGGGUGGAGUGGUGAAAUGCGUAGAGAUCCGGAGGAACACCAGUGGCGAAGUCGAUUCGCUGGGCCUACUCUGACGCUCAGACGCGAAAGCAUGGGGAGCGAACGGG